Molecule: non-coding RNA, 3645 nt
Organism: Macaca mulatta (Rhesus monkey)
Lineage: Eukaryota; Metazoa; Chordata; Mammalia; Primates; Cercopithecidae
Source: RefSeq, a predicted model, not a curated record
GAGAGUCUGGGCGACUGCGCACGCGCGGCUGGUGAGUGGCGGGUUCCGGCGCAGCUGUGGGGCUGGCUGCGCGCCGCUGAGGGGUUUUGGACUGGGUUAGGUGCGUUUGGUGUAUGUGUUUCUCACCUUUUUUCCAGGGCGGUGGUAGCGGAAGAGUUUAGUUAGCGGUGGCUGGCGGAUGCCUGAGGGAAGGAGCUGGCGCCGGCCUGAGAAUGGGUCGUGGUUGCUGGUUGGGCGCGGUCGGGCCUCGUGUCCGGGUCGCUGAAGGGGCCGCGUCCUGGGCCGCGCACGUUGGCUCCCGGGCCUCAGGCGGCCUUGGUGCUGAGGGGGACGUGAACCCUUAGGCUGCGGCAGCGCGUGGAGGCCCUCCUUCCGCGUAGAAACAGGACUCGGCCUGCGGUCCUUUCCAUCUUUGCUCUCAGAAGUUCGCGGAGGGAUUUGGCGAAAUACCCGACCAGGCUUGACUGUCCGCUCCUGGACGGCGGGCCCUGUCGCCGGGGCUUCUGAGGCGGGCACCCUGCCGGGUGCGGGGGCUGCGAGGUGGAGUAGACUAAGACGAGGGCGGCUUUACUGCGAAACGGCUUCACUGCUGCUGCCUUUACUCCGAAGCCAGUAGCUUCGGAGGUGCAGAAGAAGCGCUGGGACGAUCCUGGAGGGAGCCACGUGUCAGACAGGAAGGCCUUGCUGAUGGGGGUUGUGGUUACACGCGGUGUACAUCACAACGUCGCACUGCACACCUACGACCUGCAUUUCACUGUUAUAAACAACUUGUGAAAUGAGUGAUUUGGAAGAUGACGAGACACCCCAGCUUUCUGCCCACGCCUUAGCAGCUCUCCAGGAAUUUUAUGCUGAGCAAAAACAACAAAUUGACCUAGGCGAGGAUGAUAAAUAUAACAUUGGAAUAAUAGAAGAGAAUUGGCAGUUGAGCCAGUUUUGGUAUAGUCAGGAAACUGCUCUGCGACUUGCACAGGAGGCAAUUGCAGCUGUAGGAGAAGGUGGCAGAGUCGCAUGUGUGAGUGCCCCUAGUGUUUACCAGAAACUCAGAGAGCUGUGCAGAGAAAACUUUACUGUAUAUAUCUUUGAAUAUGACAAAAGAUUUGCCAUGUAUGGAGAGGAGUUUAUUUUCUAUGAUUACAAUAAUCCAUUGGACUUACCCGAAAGAAUUGCUGCACAUAGUUUUGACAUCGUAAUAGCAGAUCCUCCCUAUCUUUCGGAGGAAUGUCUCAGAAAAACAUCAGAAACCAUCAAGUACCUGACACGGGGCAAGAUUCUGCUGUGCACAGGUGCCAUCAUGGAAGAACAGGCAGCAGAGCUCCUUGGAGUGAAGAUGUGCACGUUUGUUCCAAAACACACCCGGAACUUGGCAAAUGAGUUCCGCUGUUAUGUGAAUUAUGAUUCUGGGCUGGACUGUGGGAUCUAAUUACAGAUGGUGACAUAACACGGGAAGGAACCCUGUCACAUUCCCCUUUUUGCAUUUUCCUAGUAGAUUUAAAAUAUAUACUCUCUUCCCCUCCCCCCAAACUGGAGCCGACCUUGCCUGAUUUUCAAAAUAAAGUACAUGACCUUCAUUAUUGUUUCCUUAGGGAGGGCCUGGCCUCACUAGAGCUCAGUCUUCUGCCAACCUGAAUUCAUGGAAUUCGAGUUGGAAGAAACCUUAGAACCUGCGUGAUGUACUCUCCUCGUCUAACAUAUGUCAAAACAGCAGAACAGUUGCGUGGCUUGCCCAAGGGCUCCUGAAUGAGACAGGAUCUUGGCCUCUGCCUUGGGCCAGAGCAGUCUGGUAGCAUCCUAGGGCUUGUGAGGACCCCCACCCCCAUGUCCCACCCCAGCCCUCCAAGGACACAGACUUGCCUCCAUGAAAAAAGGCAAUAAUCCAAUAACUAGCAUCUGAAUGCCUCUUGGAGCUCUCCUCCUCCAGGUUCUAGGUGGGCUGCGAGGGAUGACAGGUGCCCAGGUGCCCUCCCCACAUGGCUCAGACUCAGCACCCUCCCUCUGAACUGCCUGAGAAAAUGAAAGAUCCAUUUGUAAACCAAACACCAGGACCAAAAAAUGAAGCUGGGACGAGAGUGCUAGAUUCUCAACUGUUCAGAAAAUAUGCCUCUGUGCAUACCCCAGAGCACGUCUCAGCAAUCAGAAGUGAACACGCAGCAUGGCUGGGUCUCGAGGGCGUGAUGCUGAUGGAAGAGCUGCGCCGCACAGGCCACACACUGGAUGAUUCUAGCACACCGGGUGGGACGUGGGCUAGACGGAACCAGAGAGGUCCAGGAUGAGCUCCUGACUCUACUAUUUCCUGUCACCUGGGGCCAAUGCCUUCAUCUCUCCAGGCCCGGGCUCCUCACCAGGAGCACAAACCAGCCGCGGAGUUGCAGGAGCUCUGAAAAUCCACCCAGACGUCUGCAGUGCCUCUUCAGGAAGCCCCAGAGCCUUUAAGAGCAAACGGUGCCCUUCAACCAAUGCUCUUGGUAUGUCCCAGACUGUUGUUUGUGCUGAAGCUUCAUUUUCUCAGUAUCUGCUUUUUCCUCAUUGUUGGAGAAUUUCCCUUUCUGCUCUCAACUUAAAAAUUAACAUGUCUUUGAAAUAAGAAAUAUGUGCACAUAGCAGAAAAUGUAAAAGAUACAAGAGUAAAAAGUAGGUCUCCUCCCCAACCCCAGCCUCCAGAGCCCCUCAUAAGAGGCACCACAAUACCCCCGUUCUAAGGAUGCCUGUGUGUGCGUAUAUAUGUAGGCGUUUAAAACAGAAUUUGUCAUAUGUACAUAUUAUGUCGUAUUUUCCCUUUUAAGAUAGAAACGGCAGCAUGCUAUAUACGCCUUUCCCCGCUGUGUAUUGGUGAUUGAUUGAUCCACUUAUGACUCUUAGAGCUGCCUCCUUCUUCCUCACAGUGCACAGUGUCUAACUCAGCGGGCCUCGUUCUUCCUCACAGUGCACAGUGUCUAACUCAGCGGGCCUCUUCUUCCUCACAGUGCACAGUGUCUAACUCAGCGGGCCUCGUUCUUCCUCACAGUGUACAGUGUCUAACUCAGUGCCUGUUGGGGGUGUUUAGGUGGCUUCCAAUCUCUUGCUAUUACAGCAGUGAACACGUAUCCUUGUACGCAUAUCAUUCGGCACAUGGGCAAGUGUAUCUGAAAUAGUCAAAGGGUGUGUGAAUUUAAAAUCUUGAUAUUUAUACCAAAUUGCCCUCCAUAAAAGUUGUGCUGAUUCAUACCCCUGUAGUUGGAUGAGAAUGCCUUUCCUUCACAACCUUGCCAACGUAGCCUGCUGGGUGCCAGGAAAAAAAAAAGGGCUGCUCAGUAGAGUCUCCACAUGCACUUCGCUUAUGCCUGAAGCUAGCGUGGCUUUCUGUAUCGAGCGUUUGAGUCAUUUGACCUUCCUUCCCUGGGAACAGUCCCGAUCUUUGCUCAUCUUUCCAUGACGUCGCUGGUCCUUUUCUUACUGAUUUGUGGGAGCUCUUUGUGCCUUGGGUUGCAAACAUUUUUUCCCAGUUUGCCCUUGUAUUUUUCUUACUUUACUUUGCCAAGAAGAAACGGUGUAUAAUUAUGUAACUUCAUUUCUCAAUCUUGUCUUCUGUGACUUUUGGGGACUAUGAGCAGCUAAAUAGGGCCUCAUCCACUCCAAGAUUAUAAAUAUAAUUGCUUGUGUUUUUCUCUG